GACGAACGCUGGCGGCGUGCCUAAUACAUGCAAGCUGAGCGCUGAAGGUUGGUACUUGUACCAACUGGAUGAGCAGCGAACGGGUGAGUAACGCGUGGGGAAUCUGCCUUUGAGCGGGGGACAACAUUUGGAAACGAAUGCUAAUACCGCAUAAAAACUUUAAACACAAGUUUUAAGUUUGAAAGAUGCAAUUGCAUCACUCAAAGAUGAUCCCGCGUUGUAUUAGCUAGUUGGUGAGGUAAAGGCUCACCAAGGCGAUGAUACAUAGCCGACCUGAGAGGGUGAUCGGCCACAUUGGGACUGAGACACGGCCCAAACUCCUACGGGAGGCAGCAGUAGGGAAUCUUCGGCAAUGGACGAAGGUCUGACCGAGCAACGCCGCGUGAGUGAAGAAGGUUUUCGGAUCGUAAAACUCUGUUGGUAGAGAAGAACGUUGGUGAGAGUGGAAAGCUCAUCAAGUGACGGUAACUACCCAGAAAGGGACGGCUAACUACGUG
This 497-nucleotide ribosomal RNA is filed under the name uncultured bacterium. Its description in RNAcentral is "partial 16S ribosomal RNA". It matches the Rfam family "Bacterial small subunit ribosomal RNA", at positions 28 to 507 of the family's 1533-position model. The record is from RNAcentral.